GGCCGCUACCACGCGAGUGGAUGCCAAUCCCUAAACCCUCUCAGUUCGGACUGGAGUCUGCAACCCGACUCCACGAAGCUGGAUUCGCUAGUAAUCGCGCAUCAGCCACGGCGCGGUGAGUACGUUCCCGGGCCUUGUACACACCGCCCGUCAAGCCAUGGGAGCCGGGGGUACCUGAAGUGCGUAACCGCGAGGAUCGCCCUAGGGUAAAACUGGUGACUGGGGCUAAGUCGUAACAAGGUAAC
This 245-nucleotide ribosomal RNA is filed under the name uncultured bacterium. RNAcentral describes it as "partial 16S ribosomal RNA". It matches the Rfam family "Bacterial small subunit ribosomal RNA", at positions 1245 to 1500 of the family's 1533-position model. The record is from RNAcentral.